UACGGAGGGUGCGAGCGUUGUCCGGAAUCAUUGGGCGUAAAGGGCGCGUAGGUGGCGGCUUAAGCGUGCGGUGAAAGCUCGGGGCUCAACCCCGAGUCGGCCGUGCGAACUGAGUCGCUUGAGCACUGUAGAGGCAGGCGGAAUUCCGGGUGUAGCGGUGGAAUGCGUAGAGAUCCGGAAGAACACCGGGUGGCGAAGGCGGCCUGCUGGGCAGUAGCUGACACUGAGGCGCGACACGUGGGGGAGCAAACAGG
RNAcentral lists this ribosomal RNA (254 nucleotides) under uncultured bacterium. RNAcentral describes it as "partial 16S ribosomal RNA". It matches the Rfam family "Bacterial small subunit ribosomal RNA", at positions 524 to 776 of the family's 1533-position model. The record is from RNAcentral.